Molecule: non-coding RNA, 1310 nt
Organism: Beta vulgaris subsp. vulgaris (sugar beet)
Lineage: Eukaryota; Viridiplantae; Streptophyta; Magnoliopsida; Caryophyllales; Amaranthaceae
Source: Rfam
UCUAUCCUUAAUUUAGACUUCAGAGUGUUGGAGUUUAUAAUAAAUGCUUUUAAAGGAAACUCAAGAGUUGCUUCAAAAGAGAAUGUGAAGAGUCCCACAUUGAUAGAAUAAUAGGAAGUGUAAGGGGUUUAUAUACAUUACAUUUUCUAUACCCAUUGAGUUGUGUGACAAAAGGACUUUUAGUGGGCAUGUGGUGCAUGUGGUGAGUGGAGUCACCACACGCACCCGCCCGGUCUGGGCCUUGGGCCUUGGGCCUUGGGCCUUGGGCCUUGGGCCUUGGGCCGUGAUUUCAAUUUGUUUUUCCAUCUAUACUGGAAACGCAGAGACCGUGUAUCCCUGGAGGUUGAUUGCUGUGAGGCCGUGUGUUGUAGCGGGGCAAAUUCAACUUUAGGGCAGUGAAUUCUUCACGCCACGGUUUUCCAGAUAAGUUAAAUUUAUGUUCUUAGCGGUUUUAGUUCCUACACAGAGUGCUCAAAGCAAGCCUACACUAUGUAUAGAUUAGCAUGGGUAACAUCAUAGGAUUUUGGUCCUAUUAUGUUGUCCUUCGGAUCGAAGUAAUGAUUAACAGGGACAGUGUGGGACAUUUGUACUUCAUAGUUACACGUGAAAUUCUUGGAUUUAUGAAAGACGUAUAACCGUGAAAGCAUUUGCCAAGGAUGUUUCAUUAAUCAAGAAUGAAAGUUGGAGGCUAAAAAACGAUCCGAUACUGCCCUAGUCUCAACCAUAAAUGAUGCCAACUAGGGAUCGACAUAUGUUACUUUUUAGGACGCCGCCGACACCUUAUGAGAAAUCAAAGUUUUUGGGUUUCGGGGACUAUGGUUGGAAGGCUAAAACUUAGAGGAAUUGACCGAGUGGCACCAGCAAGAGUGGAGCCUGCGGCUUAAAUUGUAAGAUUGACAGACUAAGAGCUCUUUCUUGAUUCUAUUGGUGGCGGUGCAUGGCUGUUCUUAGUUGGUGGAUAGAUUUGUCUAGUGAAUUCGUUAACGAACGAGACCUUAGCCUACUAACUAGUUAUGAGGAGGUAGUCCUUCGCAGCUAGCUUCUUAGAGGGACUAUGGCCUGUUAGGCCAUGAAAGUUUGAGGCAAUAACAGGUAUAUAAUACCCUUAGGUGUUCUAGCAGGAGCUAUAAUAAUGUAUUCAACGAGUGUAUAGCCUUGACCAACAGGUCCGGGUAAUCUUUGAAAUUUCAUCGUGAUGGGGAUAAAUCAUUGCAAUUGUUGGUCUUCACCAAGAAAUUCCUAAUAAGCACCAGUCAUCAUCUUGCGUUAACAUACCUGCCCUUUGUACACGCCUUCCGUCGGAAACAAAU